AGUAACGCGUGGAUAACCUGCCUCACACUGGGGGAUAACAGUUAGAAAUGACUGCUAAUACCGCAUAAGCGCACAGUACCGCAUGGUACAGUGUGAAAAACUCCGAUGGUGUGAGAUGGAUCCGCGUCUGAUUAGCCAGUUGGCGGGGUAACGGCCCACCAAAGCGACGAUCAGUAGCCGACCUGAGAGGGUGACCGGCCACAUUGGGACUGAGACACGGCCCAA
Molecule: ribosomal RNA, 225 nt
Filed under: uncultured bacterium
Lineage: Bacteria
Description: partial 16S ribosomal RNA
Rfam family: Bacterial small subunit ribosomal RNA
Source: RNAcentral